UAUCUGAAGACAAACAAUAGGAAUGGGGUGUGUGUACGAAGACAUGUGUUUAUGAAUAUUCCAUGUCUAAUAUUAUCUUUCACAAAGCACACCUUUAUUUACCUACAUAUUGUUCAAAUGGCGUUUCUCAAUAUAGGAAUUUAUAAAGGUUGUACAUAAUGAAAACUGUUUUAAGCACAUUACUAAUCCUUGUGUUUGUUUGUCUCAGGAAUUAUUGGAAAAAUAUUGAUCAUAUUAACAUUGAGUCCAGUGAUAUAGCAAAGGCUCUUUUACUGAAGACAACCAAUACAAAUGCGGUUUGUGAAAGGAGUCUAGUGUUGAGACUGUUCAAAGUCCACAUUUUUCUUCCGCCCUACUCAAAUGCUAUUCUUCAAAUCAAAAUAUUGAAGAUCAGAUGUUAAUAAAUAUUUAUUUUUACGAAAAUUAUAUUGAAAAUUUUUUUUAUGAAAUGUAUUACUAAUCGUCAUAAUUUUUAAUGCCUUAAUUAUAUCUCAUAUUUUUAUAUUUUAUAAUAUAUUUCUUACUUUUUGUUUUAUUGAUAACAAAUAAUUCUCCAUUCAAUAUAGAUUUUGUAAUGUCUUUAUUGUAUUGUAUUCAUAAUCAUUUCAAUAAUAUUAGGGAUUUAUCAUUAGACGAUACAUGUGUUUGCUGUUUAUAUGACAUUUGCCUCUCUCAAGGCGCAUACCAUUCUGAAGAUAAACUAUAUGAAUGCGGUUUUUGUGAGAAGAAAUAUGUAAAUAAUUAUCACUGUCCUAUGACUUGUCACACAGGUCGCAUAACUAUGAGUACUAAAUCAACUCAAAUGUCACAAUCAUUCUACCAAUGUAGAAUUGUUUUCUUUUAGAAACUUAAUAUGUUAAGUUUUGCACGCCCAAAUUAUAAUAUUCC
This is a non-coding RNA of Cinara cedri, 888 nucleotides long. NCBI's taxonomy places the organism in Eukaryota, Metazoa, Arthropoda, Insecta, Hemiptera, Aphididae. The record is from the annotation of a GenBank genome assembly.